This 253-nucleotide ribosomal RNA is filed under the name uncultured bacterium. RNAcentral describes it as "partial 16S ribosomal RNA". It matches the Rfam family "Bacterial small subunit ribosomal RNA", at positions 524 to 776 of the family's 1533-position model. The record is from RNAcentral.
UACGUAGGGGGCAAGCGUUGUCCGGAAUCAUUGGGCGUAAAGAGCGUGUAGGCGGCUUGGUAAGUCCGCUGUGAAAGUCCAGGGCUCAACCCUGGAAUGCCGGUGGAAACUGUCGGGCUAGAGUCCGGAAGAGGCGAGUGGAAUUCCUGGUGUAGCGGUGAAAUGCGCAGAUAUCGCUUGGAACGCCGAAGGUGAAAACAGGUUGCUGGGGUUAUGCCGACGCUGAGACACGAAAGCCAGGGGAGCGAACGGG